AACUCGGCCGAAAACCUCCUGGCGGCGUAAACGGGAUUGCGCUUCUGGUCUUUGACCACGGAUGUACUGGCACUGAUCAUCGAGGCGCAUAGGAGAGGCCGGGUUCGCCCGGCCUUUUUGUUU
This 123-nucleotide small RNA is filed under the name Mesorhizobium hungaricum. RNAcentral describes it as "Mesorhizobium sp. UASWS1009 Alphaproteobacterial sRNA ar35". It matches the Rfam family "Alphaproteobacterial sRNA ar35". The record is from Rfam by way of RNAcentral. Lineage: Bacteria; Pseudomonadati; Pseudomonadota; Alphaproteobacteria; Hyphomicrobiales; Phyllobacteriaceae.